UGCAAGUUCGAGCGGUAGAGAGAAGCUUGCUUCUCUUGAGAGCGGCGGACGGGUGAGUAAUGCCUAGGAAUCUGCCUAGUGGUGGGGGAUAACGUUCGGAAACGGACGCUAAUACCGCAUACGUCCUACGGGAGAAAGCGGGGGAUCUUCGGACCUCGCGCCAUUAGAUGAGCCUAGGUCGGAUUAGCUAGUUGGUGAGGUAAUGGCUCACCAAGGCGACGAUCCGUAACUGGUCUGAGAGGAUGAUCAGUCACACUGGAACUGAGACACGGUCCAGACUCCUACGGGAGGCAGCAGUGGGGAAUAUUGGACAAUGGGCGAAAGCCUGAUCCAGCCAUGCCGCGUGUGUGAAGAAGGUCUUCGGAUUGUAAAGCACUUUAAGUUGGGAGGAAGGGCAGUAACCUAAUACGUUAUUGUUUUGACGUUACCGACAGAAUAAGCACCGGCUAACUUCGUGCCAGCAGCCGCGGUAAUACGAAGGGUGCAAGCGUUAAUCGGAAUUACUGGGCGUAAAGCGCGCGUAGGUGGUUCAGUAAGUUGGAAGUGAAAUCCCCGGGCUCAACCUGGGAACUGCUUUCAAAACUGCUGAGCUAGAGUACGGUAGAGGGUGGUGGAAUUUCCUGUGUAGCGGUGAAAUGCGUAGAUAUAGGAAGGAACACCAGUGGCGAAGGCGACCACCUGGACUGAUACUGACACUGAGGUGCGAAAGCGUGGGGAGCAAACAGGAUUAGAUACCCUGGUAGUCCACGCCGUAAACGAUGUCAACUAGCCGUUGGGAGUCUUGAACUCUUAGUGGCGCAGCUAACGCAUUAAGUUGAC
RNAcentral lists this ribosomal RNA (819 nucleotides) under uncultured bacterium. RNAcentral's name for it is "bacterial SSU rRNA". It matches the Rfam family "Bacterial small subunit ribosomal RNA", at positions 56 to 869 of the family's 1533-position model. The record is from RNAcentral.